GACGAACGCUGGCGGCGUGCUUAACACAUGCAAGUCGAACGGAAAGGCCCUGCUUUUGUGGGGUGCUCGAGUGGCGAACGGGUGAGUAACACGUGAGUAACCUGCCCUUGACUUUGGGAUAACUUCAGGAAACUGGGGCUAAUACCGGAUAGGAGCUCCUGCUGCAUGGUGGGGGUUGGAAAGUUUCGGCGGUUGUGGAUGGACUCGGGGCUUAUUAGCUUGUUGGGGGGGGAGUGGCAUACCCAGGGUUUGGCGGGUAGCCGGCCUGAGAGGGUGGACGGGCACAAUGGUACUAAGAGACGGCCCAGACUCGUACGGGAGGCAGCAGGGGGAAAUAUUGCACAAUGGGCGGGAGCCUGAGGCAGCAGCGCCGCGAGCGGGAAGACGGCCUUCGGGUUGUAAACCGCUUUCGGCUGUGACGAAGCGUGAGUGACGGUAAUGGGUAAAGAAGCACCGGCUAACUACGUG
This 468-nucleotide ribosomal RNA is filed under the name uncultured bacterium. Its description in RNAcentral is "partial 16S ribosomal RNA". It matches the Rfam family "Bacterial small subunit ribosomal RNA", at positions 28 to 507 of the family's 1533-position model. The record is from RNAcentral.